AGAGUUUGAUCAUGGCUCAGAACGAACGCUGGCGGCGUGCUUAACACAUGCAAGUCGCGUGCGCAGUUGCCGUAGCAAUACGGUGAUGGGCGCACGGCGCACGGGUGCGUAACACGUGGGCAAUCUGCCCUUUGAUGGGGAAUAACCCGCCGAAAGGCGGGCUAAUUCCGCAUAAGAUUCUUUGGACCUCGGUCUGGAGAUUGAAAGCAGCAAUGCGUCGAAGGAGGAGCCCGCGCCCGAUUAGCUAGUUGGUGAGGUAACGGCUCACCAAGGCUAUGAUCGGUAGCUGGUCUGAGAGGAUGAUCAGCCACACUGGAACUGAGACACGGUCCAGACUCCUACGGGAGGCAGCAGUGGGGAAUCUUGCACAAUGGGCGAAAGCCUGAUGCAGCGACGCCGCGUGGGGGAUGAAGCAUUUCGGUGUGUAAACCCCUUUCGACUGGGAAGAAUACCUCGCAAGAGGGGUGACGGUACCAGUAGAAGAAGCCCCGGCUAACUACGUGCCAGCAGCCGCGGUAAGACGUAGGGGGCCAGCGUUGUUCGGAAUUACUGGGUGUAAAGGGUUCGUAGGCGGUGCGGCAAGUUGGGAGUGAAAUCUCUGGGCUUAACCCAGAGGCUGCUUCCAAAACUGCUGUGCUCGAGUGUGAGAGAGGCUCGUGGAAUUGCAGGUGUAGCGGUGAAAUGCGUAGAUAUCUGCAGGAACACCCGUGGCGAAAGCGGCGAGCUGGAUCACUACUGACGCUGAGGAACGAAAGCUAGGGGAGCAAACAGGAUUAGAUACCCCAGUAGUCC
This 792-nucleotide ribosomal RNA is filed under the name uncultured bacterium. RNAcentral's name for it is "bacterial SSU rRNA". It matches the Rfam family "Bacterial small subunit ribosomal RNA", at positions 8 to 796 of the family's 1533-position model. The record is from RNAcentral.